This 114-nucleotide ribosomal RNA is filed under the name Caerostris extrusa. The record is from RNAcentral. Lineage: Eukaryota; Metazoa; Arthropoda; Arachnida; Araneae; Araneidae.
AACGGCCAUACUUUAUGUUGAAUAUACCGGUUCUCGUUAGAUCACCGAAGUCAAGCAUCAUUGGGCGCGGUCAGUACUUGGGUGGGUGACCACCUGGGAACGCCGCGUGCCGUU